This 253-nucleotide ribosomal RNA is filed under the name uncultured prokaryote. RNAcentral's name for it is "partial 16S ribosomal RNA". It matches the Rfam family "Bacterial small subunit ribosomal RNA", at positions 525 to 777 of the family's 1533-position model. The record is from RNAcentral.
ACAGAGGUGGCGAGCGUUAUUCGGAAUUAUUGGGCGUAAAGGGCGCGUAGGCGGCCAAGCAAGUCUUGGGUGAAAUCCCUCGGCUCAACCGAGGAACUGCCUUGGAAACUGCAUGGCUCGAGGCCGGGAGAGGGUAGCGGAAUUCCCAGUGUAGCGGUGAAAUGCGUAGAUAUUGGGAGGAACACCGGUGGCGAAGGCGGCUACCUGGACCGGUUCUGACGCUGAUGCGCGAAAGCGUGGGGAGCAAACAGGA